AUAAAUUUGAAAUAAUAAAAUCAGUGCCCUUUUCUCAGGUUUCUAUUCUAUUCUAGAUGUUUAGCCCUAGAAACAAGGUCUGCACCUAAUCAAUCAAAUGUACAGCACGUAAUAUAUAGUUAUUUUACAAUUUGUACAUUUUACGUGAUCUAAUACAUUGUUUCACUAACGAAACCAUCACACCACACCUCUCAUCCUCCC
Molecule: long non-coding RNA, 201 nt
Organism: Pipistrellus kuhlii (Kuhl's pipistrelle)
Lineage: Eukaryota; Metazoa; Chordata; Mammalia; Chiroptera; Vespertilionidae
Exons: 2
Source: RefSeq, a predicted model, not a curated record